GACGAACGCUGGCGGCGUGCCUAAUACAUGCAAGUAGAACGCUGAAGAGAGGAGCUUGCUCUUCUUGGAUGAGUUGCGAACGGGUGAGUAACGCGUAGGUAACCUGCCUUUUAGCGUGGGAUAACUAUGGGAAACGAUAGCUAAUACCGCAUAACAAUUGAUGACACAUGUCUUUUAUUUGAAAGUGGCAAUUUCUCCACUACAUGAUGGACCUGCGUUGUAUUAGGUAGGAGGUGAGGUAAUGGGUCACCCAGGCGAAGGUACAUAGCCCACCUGAAAGGGGGAUACGCCCACAUGGGAAUGGGACAAGGCACAGAAUCCUAAGGGAGGCCACCAUAGGGAAUCUUCGGGAAAGGGGGGAAACCUGACCGAGGAAAGCCGGGUGAGUGAAGAAGGUUUUCGGGUCGUAAAGCUCUGUUGUAAGUCAAGAAAGGAUGUGAGAGUGAAAAGUUCACACUGUGACGGUAGCUUAUCAGAAAGGGACGGCUAACUACGUG
RNAcentral lists this ribosomal RNA (497 nucleotides) under uncultured bacterium. RNAcentral describes it as "partial 16S ribosomal RNA". It matches the Rfam family "Bacterial small subunit ribosomal RNA", at positions 28 to 507 of the family's 1533-position model. The record is from RNAcentral.